UAUACGGAACGCAAAAAACGUUCGUGUGAACGAGCCCUUAGUCAAGGGGGCCCAAGGGCCACCAUUAUUAUAAAUAGGACUUGGUAGGUGGGUGCCCUAUUAAAGAUUUUUCAUUUUCACACAGGAGCUUUAAAGGUGUUUUCCAGUUUGCAUCAUUUCUGACGAUAGCAGUAACUUUGUAAUGUAUUUCUUAUACAGUUAUUACUGCUUAUCUCCCGUUC
Bufo bufo (common toad) is the source of this 221-nucleotide long non-coding RNA. RefSeq lists it as uncharacterized. The record is from RefSeq and is a predicted model, not a curated record. NCBI's taxonomy places the organism in Eukaryota, Metazoa, Chordata, Amphibia, Anura, Bufonidae. The transcript has 3 exons.